UGGAAGUUUUCUCCUUUCACCCCCAUCCUCCCCCUUCUCUUCCUGUCGUCCUCUAGGCCCCGUGUAGCCCCCUCUGUCUGGUGUUUAGCAACCACUGGUUCCUGUCUUCAUUUGGUUCUGGGCUCCUUCCCUGCUACUCAUCUCUCGUGCUGUUUGUCUGGCCCCUGGUGGCCAGGAUGUAUGGUUCCUGCCCUUCUGGGGAACCAGAAUUUAAGACACCUGAGUUUUAACACAUUAUUCACUCCUUUGCCAAAUUAGUGGCAAAAGCCUUGUGAGCCAGCAUGAAGGGAGGGGUUCUGGUUAAUCAAAGGUUCUGGUUGGCUGAGAGUUCUCCUACCUUCCCCCGCCCUCCUCCGGGACCCUCCCUGCUUCCCUUGCUGCCUCUGUCGCAGCCAUCCUGCCUCUGCGUGCAACCUGGACACGUCAAGUCCUCUCCUGCGCGGGAAACUCUGUGCUGGCUGUUCCCUGUGCCUGGACUGUCCUCUCAGACCUUCCCACCGCCGCCUCCUUCUCCUCCUUUCCGUCUUGGCCCAAUUGUCACCUCCUCCGAGAUGCCUUUCCUGACCAGCCUGCCCUUUUUUAUUCUGAUACCCCCUUUUGGGGAGCACUUAUCACUCUUGGAAAUGAUUUUAUCCACUGUCGAUCUGUGUCCUUGCUGGAAUGUAAGGGCACGAGGCCAGGGUCUCACCUGUUUCCCCCCUUGGGUCCCUAAUGCCGCACCCUCCCCGCGGCACCGUACCCCGUGCUGCCUUGUUCGCUUCAUGAGAUACAUCGGGUCAUGAUGUAUGGUCUCAGCCACCUGGGAUAGAGACCUCAGAUCAUUCUUCACGCCCAAGGCAUCAGUUCCUAAGUCUGGCUUAUUCUUCCUCCCCUCCCCUUCCCUCCUCCGUCCCAUCACCCCUGCCUUAGCGUGGGCUCUCGUCCAUCACGCAGUGGCUCCUAGCUGGGCCACCUGCCCCGUCCUUCCCUUCUCCAGCUCCAGCUAGGCUCUUGCACCCAUGCCAGUCGCUUCGUCUGCAACAUUCUUUUGUUCCCUCUUUGCCUGGUGUCUUGGUUUUAGGGAACAGCAGUCACUCUGGUAUUUUAAGCAGGAGGAGAUUUAAGACAGGACUUGGGAGCUCUGAAACUUAGGAGAGGGUCAGGCUGAGUCUCCAGGAUAAUCCCAGGAAACACAGCAGAACUGGUCCCAACUCUGCUGCCGUCAAGGAGGAGGAAAUCACAACGUUGCUGCUGGAACUACUACUUCAAGAAAAUGGCAUUUCAUCUGUGAUCCAGGGGUCAGAGGCCACUUCAGCUGCUAAAGUUGCCAGUUGACCCCCAAGAAGCUGGAGCCUGGACCCCAGAAUGUUCUUCCAGAAAGACCCAGCACCUCUGUGACCCUGCGAACCAGCAGAAAAUGUGCAGAGGCCACUGGAGAUGGCCUCCUCCCUCUGUUUGCCUUCCAAAUCAUGCAUGAGUGCAGCUGGUUGGUGGAACCGAAUUCAAACCUUGUAAAGGCGCCUGGGAAAUGUAGUUACUAAGUUUUCCAGCCUCUGCGUUUACAGCUCAGGCCACAGAAGGAGGUGGGAGCAGUUGCUGCGGGCCUAUCAGCCGUGUCUGCCACAGUAGCCAGCCCCGGCCCCCAGGGCCUUCAGGACCAGCUCAGGAAAGCCUUCCUGCCUGCUGCGCUGCAUAGGGCUGGGCUCCCUCUCAUAUGCCCUGGGGCAUCCUGUGCUUUUUCUCAGAGGCUCCAAGGGGAUAGCCAGUGCUGUCUUAGGAGCCCCGCAGCCCUUCUCCCCUCUCCUGAAGCAUUUCCUGCCUGGAUGGCCUUUCCGACAGUCCCACCUGCUAUUUUGAACUGCUUCCCAUCUGUGGGGCAUCUGCCUUCUCUCGGAGCCGCUCGCAGGCACACAUGGCUUUUACCUCUGGUCUCUCCAGAUGCCUGCUGGCUUGCAGUAAGUUCAUCCUUUCGGUUACAAAGAUUUUUAAGGAAGAGGUUUAAAAAAAAUCCUCAAUCUUUCAUGCAGCGGGCAGGAGGCCAUCUAGUGGAGAAGAGAGAUGAGCUUAAACUCCAGGAAGAUGAAAGGAGGGGACACUUUCCUGGGCAUCCGCCAAGGUGGCCUGGGCAGCAGCCAGAGCAACAAGAGCCCUGACUUGUGUCCUCCGCUGAACAUAACUGGACACUGGGUUGUGGCUGCGACCCAGAGGUGAGAGCUGAGCACAGGGCACACUCGACAUCAGCCCGUUAGUGCUCAGAACAAACAAGGACCCAGGAACCCCCCCACCCCCACCCCGCGUGUUUUCUUCUUGGGAAGAGCCACGGCCCCCACCUGCCUCCCUGGCCAUCCCUGCUGGCCCUGCUGGCUCUCGGCUGGAGUAGAGAAGCGCCUGCUUCCCUCUGGAGACUCGCUGA
This 2392-nucleotide long non-coding RNA is filed under the name Equus caballus (horse). Its description in RNAcentral is "lncRNA (ENSECAG00000048922.1)". The record is from RNAcentral. Lineage: Eukaryota; Metazoa; Chordata; Mammalia; Perissodactyla; Equidae.